AAAAAUACGAGCCCCGAACGGAGGUAGGAGCCUGUUUGGUCCAGGGGAGCUUCCCAAAGACGAUCAGCUGGUGUGAGCUGCCCUGCACUGCUCCGAGCCGCGGCAGCAGCGCCCGAGCCGCAGCAUCCCGAGCUGGGCUGGGGAUGAGGCAGCGCAGGUACCUCGGGUACCACCCCGCAAACAUCCCUGCCCUGCCCUCCUCUGUGACAGGAGUGACAGUCUGAGUGAAAGGAAGGCACCUCCGAGGUGAUUACGACAGAGUAAAAACUCCUUCAUCUCUGCUGCUGCAGCGUCACCUCGCUACAAAAAGUCCAGUGCUCUUGAGGAACAAGAAACCACCCAAGCUUAACCCACCAAAAAGAAAGGUUACUGAGUCUCUGCUGAAACCUCAAGGAGGAGAGCCUGUCCCCAGCUGGAGAAGCAGCAGGGAGGAGGUUUAUUGCAGAGUAUGAAAAUCAGGAAGCUUUUUGUUCACUUCAUACAUUUCUUCCAACAAAGCCAGACAUCCGAACCCGGCACAGACUCCAGAG
RNAcentral lists this long non-coding RNA (530 nucleotides) under Zonotrichia albicollis (white-throated sparrow). RNAcentral's name for it is "lncRNA (ENSZALG00000010032.1)". The record is from RNAcentral. Lineage: Eukaryota; Metazoa; Chordata; Aves; Passeriformes; Passerellidae.